This 59-nucleotide microRNA precursor is filed under the name Octopus vulgaris (common octopus). Its description in RNAcentral is "Ovu-Mir-184-P27_pre stem-loop". Lineage: Eukaryota; Metazoa; Mollusca; Cephalopoda; Octopoda; Octopodidae. The record is from RNAcentral.
CCUUGUCACUUACUCGUCUAGUCUGUCAAAUAAGAACUGGACGGAGAACUGAUAAGGGC